AUUGAACGCUGGCGGCAUGCCUUACACAUGCAAGUCGAACGGUAACAGGUCUUCGGAUGCUGACGAGUGGCUAACGGGUGAGUAAUACAUCGGAAGGUGCCUAGUAGUGGGGGAUAACUACUCGAAAGAGUGGCUAAUACCGCAUGAGAUCUACGGAUGAAAGCAGGGGAUCGCAAGACCUUGUGCUACUAGAGCGGCCGAUGGCAGAUUAGGUAGUUGGUGGGAUAAAAGCUUACCAAGCCGACGAUCUGUAGCUGGUCUGAGAGGACGAUCAGCCACACUGGGACUGAGACACGGCCCAGACUCCUACGGGAGGCAGCAGUGGGGAAUUUUGGACAAUGGGCGAAAGCCUGAUCCAGCAAUGCCGCGUGCAGGAUGAAGGCCUUCGGGUUGUAAACUGCUUUUGUACGGAACGAAAAGCCCCGGGUUAAUACCCUGGGGUCAUGACGGUACCGUAAGAAUAAGCACCGGCUAACUACGUGCCAGCCGCCGCGGUAA
This 498-nucleotide ribosomal RNA is filed under the name uncultured bacterium. Its description in RNAcentral is "partial 16S ribosomal RNA". It matches the Rfam family "Bacterial small subunit ribosomal RNA", at positions 30 to 523 of the family's 1533-position model. The record is from RNAcentral.